This 1095-nucleotide unclassified non-coding RNA is filed under the name Hevea brasiliensis (rubber tree). The record is from RNAcentral. Lineage: Eukaryota; Viridiplantae; Streptophyta; Magnoliopsida; Malpighiales; Euphorbiaceae.
UGCAACUGAAUAAUGUAUCAAUACGGCUAGAUUAAAGUUCUCUUACAAUUGAUACAUUAUUCAGUUGCAAAAGCACAAUUGAGAUGUGCAAUCUCAACAUUACAACAAAAUUUGACUGAAAAUAUCAGUUUAGAAAAUGUAUACACACGCAAUGGAAGUCAGCAAUGAGGUCAACAGUAUCGAAACAAGAUUCACAGCAUUGUUAUCAAGAAAGUUAAGCCCCGAAAUUUUCUUCACUGUUGGUCCUGGUUUUCCAACAACUUUAUUACGAACAGUGCAGAAUCCGCUGAAUUGCAGCGUAGCUCCCAAUAGCGAAUCUAUAAGACUCCCACAUAAUCCUGCCAUUGCAGCUAGGGGUAUGACCAAGAUCUGCUUCAGAGCUACAUCAUAUUCACAGCUUGUUGUAAAAAAUCCAAAUAGAACAAAUGUGAGUCCAAUUACACUUCCUGCCCUCCCUGCUCCUGCAGCUGCUACAAGUCCUACCAUUGUUACCCCGCCAUUUGUACCCUUCCGAACAGGCUUAAAGGUUGUGAUCAAACGAGGUUGUGCAUCACUAAGCACCCCGAGCUCUGAAGACCAAGUGUCUCCAUUAGAACAAGAAUAGUGACCAAUAAUACCACCAAUUAAGGAUGUGAUAACAGUUGAUUCUUUUGUGUCCAAGCACUUGUCCUGCCAUCCACUGAGUUUCCAAAAAACCACAGCCAAAACUGUAGAAAUACCACUAUUAAACAGAACUUGUAUCCAAUUUCUUUGUCCGCCUUCCUUGAAAUCAGCAUCAAUACGUCUCUUCUUUUCCUCCCCGACCUUCGUAAGUUUCGACGAAGAGAGGAAGAAUGCAACCAAUAUAGCGCCAAAUCUGUAAUUGAUUGCGAAGUGAAUGGUCAAAACAAGAAAUCCGGAGAUUGCACCAGAAAAGUCGAGAGAUUUUCUCCUGUAAGCUCUAAUAGCGAUUAAAGAAGAGAUUAACACAGCAAUUGGUAGUUGGAUUAAGAAUUUAUCCAUUAUUGAAUUUUGAAGACUAAUCGGAGUUCAGAAAUGUUGAAGAAAGAUGAUAAUUUGUUCGUUUCUGAGUUACGAUUACACCUACACACUGCA